UAAAACCUUGACGAAAAGUACAAACCAAUGAGCUUUAGGUCAAAUGGUACUUCCUUCCUUUAGCAAAGUGGAGGUUGAGGUCGUGGGUUCAUGUCUAAACAGGUGCAUAACUUACCAAUGAAAAAAAUAUGCAAAUUAUGGAGUAGCCCUAAUUCCUGAAUCAGUGAAUCAAAAUAAAGCAGGUUUUAAAAUUUCCUUUUUGCACACACGCACAUAUCUUAUUUGUCUUUGACUAACAGUUCUUUUGAAGUCUAUAGUGACUCUGUACUAUAAUCUUUUGUCCCUCAAUGCUAGUGUUUCUCACUGCUGCCAUAAAACUAGGUAUAUAGCCAUUUGAAAAUUCGUCUUCUUCUCUCUCUCUCGGCUAGUGAAGAACCAAAUAGGUAUAUGAAACAGUACUCUUGUUUUGCUUACCUUUAAUGUUUGGAAUUUGCAGAAUGAAGUUGUUCUCGUUCAUGAAAUCGAAGCUGUUCUUGGAAAACAAAUGGAAAAGUUUGAGUGUAAAGAGAAUGAAGUGCUUUCUAAUAUUACAAAGGUUUCGAAUGCCGGAUGCGUGGCAAAUAUGAACAUGGUGGAUGAUGGCUUUGAGGAGAAAGCAAAAGAACGCAAAAAACAGAAAUUGAAAACCCUGGCAGAGAAAGGAUUAUUGAAGAAAAGGAGUAAAAAGAGAAAAGGAGAUAGAUCUGCUAAAUAGGUUGAUAAUUUUUGUGGUUCAUCUUUGUAUUUAUCCUCUUCUAUCACUGAGUGACAACUUAUUAAUUCGGAUGUGAAUCAAAAUGGUGGAAGUUUUACUUCUGCCUCACUCUGAGAAUGCUAAUUGCAUUGUUCUUUGGUGAUUUUCUA
Non-coding RNA from Corylus avellana, 843 nucleotides. NCBI's taxonomy places the organism in Eukaryota, Viridiplantae, Streptophyta, Magnoliopsida, Fagales, Betulaceae. The record is from RefSeq and is a predicted model, not a curated record.